RNAcentral lists this ribosomal RNA (117 nucleotides) under Enterobacter sp. EA-1. The record is from RNAcentral. Lineage: Bacteria; Pseudomonadati; Pseudomonadota; Gammaproteobacteria; Enterobacterales; Enterobacteriaceae.
ACUGGCGGCACCAGCGCGGUGGUCCCACCUGACCCCAUGCCGAACUCAGAAGUGAAACGCCGUAGCGCCGAUGGUAGUGUGGGGGUCUCCCCAUGCGAGAGUAGGGAACUGCCGAGG